Molecule: ribosomal RNA, 253 nt
Filed under: uncultured bacterium
Lineage: Bacteria
Description: partial 16S ribosomal RNA
Rfam family: Bacterial small subunit ribosomal RNA
Source: RNAcentral
UACGUAGGCAGCAAGCGUUGUUCGGAGUUACUGGGCGUAAAGGGUGUGUAGGCGGUUGUUUAAGUUUGGUGUGAAAUCUCCUGGCUCAACUGGGAGCUUGCAGGCGAAACUGCCGUGCUGGAGUGUGGGAGAGGUGCGUGGAAUUCCUGGUGUAGCGGUGAAAUGCGUAGAUAUCAGGAGGAACACCUGUGGCGAAAGCGGCUCUCUGGAACGGUACUGACGCUGAGACGCGAAAGCGUGGGGAGCGAACAGG